AGGAAAUGACCAAUUAUUAGGCUCAGAAUUAGUGUAUCAUCAUAGCCUAUAUCUCAACACUCUCUACUUAGCAUGACUUUUUGUGUUUUUAUUUAGGAUUUAACUUAACUCUUGUUUGGAUGGUUGUCACCAAUUAUAUUGCAUUGUUAUUUUAAUUAUGACACAACAACAACAACAACUAUCCAGUAUAGUCCCAUAAAGUGGGGUGUUAUUUUAAUUAUGAUGUUUAUUUUAAUUUUUACUUAAAUUUAUUGUAUCGUAUUGUUAAAUUUAUCGUUACGUAAUGAUGAAAUGUAUCACUUUAUGUAACGAUUAAUUUGGUGUGUUUGUUUUGUUACCUUGUCUUUCUCUCUCAUCUCACAAUUUAUUAUUAGUAUUAAAUAAGUUAAUUUUAUCUUUUACCCUACAUUUUUUAAUAACUUUAUCCCGUAUCAUAAUUUUUUUAUUUAACAUUGCAAGUUUAUUCUUCAUAUUGAUGGUGCGUGAUAUUAUGAGACAACGGCAAACGAUAUAGUAUAUGCAAAUACUGUACUUAUCAAAUGAUACAGUAUAUUAUAGUAUAGUAUAAUACGACAUAUUAUAAAACAAUACAUAACAAUUAUCCAAACAAGUUGCUAACAACUUCAUCCGGGAUCAUUAAUUAGGGAAUUAAAUUAAUGUGCUGACAACAAUGUUAACCGAAAAUCAUACUACGUGACAUGGCUUAAGACUUCCGGUAACGAAAUGAGAGGUCUUUGUAAUUUUUUUCUAAAAGAAAAUUACCGGGGUUACCAAGCAUUUGAGACAAUUUUUUUUUUUUUUUUUUUUUUUUGUGGUUAUUGCUCGUUACCAUUUUACCAUUUAGCCAGUUUUAUUGACUUCUUUUUCAUAUAGUCACUGAUGUUUGCC
This 888-nucleotide long non-coding RNA is filed under the name Nicotiana benthamiana. Its description in RNAcentral is "long non-coding RNA (NBEN_LNC042498)". Lineage: Eukaryota; Viridiplantae; Streptophyta; Magnoliopsida; Solanales; Solanaceae. The record is from RNAcentral.